Molecule: long non-coding RNA, 2597 nt
Filed under: Apteryx haastii (Great spotted kiwi)
Lineage: Eukaryota; Metazoa; Chordata; Aves; Apterygiformes; Apterygidae
Description: lncRNA (ENSAHAG00000008594.1)
Source: RNAcentral
GGGCCUGCAUCCUGCUCCUUGCACCCUGCUCCCUGCGUCCUGCGUCCUGCUCCCUGCACCUUGCACCCUGCUCCCUGCAUCCUGCGCCCCGCGUCCUGCUCCCUGCAUCCUGCGUGCUGCUCCCUGCACCUUGCACCCUGCUCCCUGCAUCUUGCAUCCUGUGUCCUGCAACUUGCACCCUGCGUCCUGCACCCUGCACUGGCCUCCACCGUGUUCCCUGCUCCUGCCCCCUGUGCUGCUCCCAGUGCUCCCAGUGCUCCCGCGCCGGCCCCAUUGCUCCCCGGCAGCCUCUAGACCCUAUUUCCCCCCCCGGCCCCAGCUCGUCCCAGCCCCAUGUGCCCUCGGCAUGGUCCUGUGGGCUCUGCACCCCACGGCAUGGCAUGGCAUGGCACGGCACAGCACCCCAUGGCACGGCACCCCAUGGCACAGCACCCCAUGGCACGGCACCCCAUGGCACGGCCCAGCACAGCAGCACGGAGCAGGAGAAGCCAGGCCGGCCCCGCUCCCAGCAGCGGCUUUCCCAGCGCCGGGGUUCUCCCGGGAGCCGUUCCCGUGUUCCCGUUUUAGCACCCGCCCGGCGGCGGGGCCGGGAGAGCAGGCGUUGGCCCGGGAGCGCGGCGCAGGAAGGAAGGAAGUGGAGGAGGAGGCAGGGCGCGCAGCUCGGCUCGGCGCAGCGCAGCACGGCUCGGCGCAGCUCGGCACCGCGCGGCGGCCGGAGCAACGGGAAAGCCCUUCCCUGGCUCCCUGGCUCCCUGCCGCCGUGCCGCUGCCGGCCCUGGCUCGCGGGGGUGCUGGGGCCACGCGCGCUGCACAGGUGUCCGGGUGUCCGGGUGUCUGGGUGCAGGGGUGUCCGGGUGCACAGCUGCACGAGUGUCCGGGUGCACGGGUGUCUGGGUGCACAGGUGUCUGGGUGCUCGGGUGUCCGGGUGCACAGGUGUCCGGGUGCACAGGUGUCUGGGUGCACGGGUGUCCGGGUGCACAGCUGCACGAGUGUCCAGGUGCACGAGUGUCUGCGUGCACGAGUGUCCGGGUGUCCGGGUGCACGGGUGUCUGUGUGCACAAGUGUCCGGGUGCAUGGGUGCACGGCUGCACGAGUGUCCAGGUGCACGGGUGCUCGGGUGUCUGGGUGCACCGGUGUCCAGGUGCACGGGUGCACUUGUGCACGGCUGUCCAUGUGCACAGCCAUACUUGUGCAUGGUUUCACAGGUGUACUUGUGCACAGCCGUACUUGUGCAUGGUUGCACAGGUGUACUUGUGCACAGCCGUACUUGUGCAUGGGUGUACCUGUGCACAGGUGUCCGUGUGCAUGGUUGCACGGGUGUACUUGUGCACAGCCAUACUUGUGCAUGGUUGCACGGGUGUACUUGUGCACAGCCAUACUUGUGCAUGGGUGUACCUGUGCACAGGUGUCCGUGUGCAUGGUUUCACAGGUGUACUUGUGCACAGCCGUACCUGUGCAUGGUUGCACGGGUGUACCUGUGCACAGGCGUCUGUGUGCAUGGGUGCACGGGUGUGCAGCCACACGGGUGUACCCGUGCACGGGUACGCGGGUGCACGGCUGCACGGGUGCCCCGGCACCCUUGUGCGCGGGUACGUGGGUGCACGAGCGCCUGGGCAGGCACGGCGAUGUCCGGCUGCUCCCAGCCCUCGUUCCAGCGGGUGGCACGGUGCCAGCCCGCGGCGGGACUCCCUGGCGCUCCAGCCUGGCUCCGGUGGCACCCGGCCGGGGCGUCCCCGCGGGCCUGGCUCCGGUGGCACCGGCUCCUGCGCUCUCCAGCCGCUCACCCCAGUCCCACGCAGGACCUGGGCCUGGGGCCCCGGCAUGGGGCACGGGGAAUGGGGCACAGGGAAUGGGGCACGGGGAAUGGGGCACAGGGAAUGGGACAAGGGGCAUGGCAUGGGCACAGGGAAUGGGGCACAGGGAAUGGGACAUGGGACAUGGCAUGGGCACAGGGAAUGGGGCAGGGGGAAUGGGACAUGGCACGGGCACAGGGCAUGGGGCACAGGGAAUGGGGUGUGGGCACAGGGCAUGGGAAGGGGGAAUGGGGCAGGGGGAAUGGGGCAUGGGGGAAUGGGGCAUGGGACAUGGCAUGGGCACAGGACAUGGGGCACAGGGAAUGGGACAUGGAACAUGGCACGGGCAUGGGGAAUGGGGCACAGUUAUGGGGCACAGGACAUGGCACAGGAAUGGGAUAUGGGACACGGCACAGGCAUGGGCAUGGAGCAGGGUGUGGGCACGGGAAUGGGGAAUGGGGCAUGGGCACAGGGAACGGGGCACGGUUAUGGGGCACGGGACAUGGCACAGGCAUGGGGCAUGGGCAUGGGGCAUGGAGCAGGGCAUGGGAAUGGGAACGGGGCACGGUUAUGGGGCACGGGACACGGCACAGGCAUGGGGCACAGGCAGGGGCAUGGGAAAGGGGGUGCACUUAUGGGGCAGGGCAUGAGCACGGGGCACGGAGCUGGGCAUGGGAGAGGGGACAUGGGGAAUGGGGCACAGGCAAUGGGGCAGGGCACGGGGAAUAGGGCACGGCUCUGGGGCACGGGCACGGAGCAGGGCACGGGCAGGGGGCCGGGCGGGGGGCAGCGGCGGGGCAGGC